UACGUAGGGGGCAAGCGUUAUCCGGAUUUACUGGGUGUAAAGGGAGCGUAGACGGCAGGGCAAGUCUGAUGUGAAAGGUCGGGGCCCAACCCCGGGACUGCAUUGGAAACUGUCCGGCUGGAGUACAGGAGAGGUAAGUGGAAUUCCUAGUGUAGCGGUGAAAUGCGUAGAUAUUAGGAGGAACACCAGCGGCGAAGGCGGCUUACUGGACUGUAACUGACGUUGAGGCUCGAAAGCGUGGGGAGCAAACAGG
This 253-nucleotide ribosomal RNA is filed under the name uncultured bacterium. Its description in RNAcentral is "partial 16S ribosomal RNA". It matches the Rfam family "Bacterial small subunit ribosomal RNA", at positions 524 to 776 of the family's 1533-position model. The record is from RNAcentral.